RNAcentral lists this transfer RNA (69 nucleotides) under Procavia capensis (Cape rock hyrax). Its description in RNAcentral is "transfer RNA-Lys". Lineage: Eukaryota; Metazoa; Chordata; Mammalia; Hyracoidea; Procaviidae. The record is from RNAcentral.
CGUUAAGAAGCUAACAUAAGCAUUAACCUUUUAAGUUAAAGAUAGGGAACCUACACUUCCCCUUAACGA